Molecule: ribosomal RNA, 393 nt
Filed under: uncultured bacterium
Lineage: Bacteria
Description: partial 16S ribosomal RNA
Rfam family: Bacterial small subunit ribosomal RNA
Source: RNAcentral
AUACGUAGGUGGCAAGCGUUAUCCGGAUUUACUGGGUGUAAAGGGCGUGUAGGCGGUUUGUCAAGUCAGCGGUGAAACGCAAGGGCUUAACCCUUGACCUGCCGUUGAAACUGGCGGACUUGAAUGCGGAUGCUGUGGGAGGAAUGUGUGGUGUAGCGGGGAAAUGCAUAGAUAUCACACAGAACACCGAUUGCGAAGGCAUCUCACAAAUCCGUGAUUGACGCUGAGGCACGAAAGUGUGGGGAUCAAACAGGAUUAGAUACCCUGGUAGUCCACACUGUAAACGAUGAUGACUCGCUGUCGGCGAUAUACAGUCGGUGGCCAAGCGAAAGCGAUAAGUCAUCCACCUGGGGAGUACGACCGCAAGGUUGAAACUCAAAGGAAUUGACGGGG